ACAAUUAAAAAGCAGCGGAACGCUAGCUAAAUUUCUACAAAAUGAAGAGGCCUUACGUUACAUGUCAAAGAAAAUCAACAAUAGUCGCUCCACAGCGAAUCAUUAACUCUCUUUACAGUUGAUUUUAAACAAAUCCAUUUACACUGAUCUAAAACCAGAAACGUAUCCAAACCCUCCCACUCGGGAGCGCAUGCUGUCACCUGUGCUCCUUCCCCACAUGGAUCAUUGGACAUACCGACUUCUUUGUGAAUGCGAGAUUUCAACCCACGUCACUUUCGUAGAUCUCCGUGUUGGCCGACACCUCCUCACAUCCCAGUAUUCUUUACCUGGCAACCCUGUAGCCAAGCACGGCCACAUUGAUCUGCGCACAUCCAUGGAUGGCAAAUACAAAGAGAUUGCAGAGGAGCUGUUCUCCCGCAGCCUGGCAGAGAGUGAGAUGCGGAGCGCUCCAUAUGAGUUUCCUGAGGAGAGCCCCAUUGAGCAGCUGGAGGAGAGGCGGCACAGACUGGAGCGGCAGAUCAGCCAGGAUAUCAAGUUUGAGCCUGAUAUCCUACUGCGAGCCAAACAGGACUUCAUGAAAACAGACAGUGCAACAGAUCUGGAGUAUAUGAAAGAGCAAUGCCAGGCACCCAAAGAACUGUAUCCCGAGAGAGAACUCGUCCCUGAGAGAGAGUAUCAGAGAGUCGCAAUCUCUGGAGAGGAGAAAUGUGGGGUUCCAUUCACUGAUCUGCUGGAUGCUGCUAAAUGUGUGGUCAAAGCUCUGUUCAUCAGAGAGAAGUACAUCUCUCUGUCCAUGCAAAGCUUCUGCAGGACCACAGCACGUUACCUGCAGGAGGAGCUGAGUGACCGACCCCUGGACCUCAAUACCUUUGAGGAGAUGCCCGAGUCCUCUGUAUCUGCAAAUGCAACCGUCCACCCGCCUGUGUCAGAAACCCACCCCUAUGAGGGGUUUGACCCUGCCAAAAUGGCCCCUGGGUUGGGCUACACUUGCAAGAUGGUGGAUGGUGUUGUUCAUGUAUACACACACAAUUCCUCAGAGCUGGACCUGCCGUACCCAGACCUGCAGGAGUACAUAGCGGAUAUGAACAUGAUGAUGGCGCUCAUCAUUAACGGGCCAGUGAAAUCUUUCUGCUAUCGCCGACUGCAGUACCUCAGCUCCAAGUUCCAGAUGCACGUUCUCUUAAACGAGAUGAAAGAAUUGGCGGCACAGAAGAAGGUCCCCCACCGUGAUUUCUACAACAUCAGGAAGGUGGACACACACAUCCAUGCCUCAUCCUGUAUGAAUCAGAAGCACCUGCUGCGCUUCAUUAAAAGAGCCAUAAAGAAAUAUCCAGGUGAAAUCGUCCAUGUAGAACAAGGUCGAGGACAGACCCUAACAGAGGUGUUUGAGAGCAUGAACCUGACGGCCUUUGACCUCAGCGUAGACACUCUGGAUAUGCACGCGGACCGUAACACAUUCCAUCGCUUUGAUAAAUUCAAUUCCAAAUACAACCCCAUUGGAGAGUCCAUCCUCCGAGAAAUCUUUAUUAAAACUGACAACCAUAUUGAGGGGAAAUACUUUGGGCACAUAAUCAAGGAGGUGAUGGCAGAUCUGGAGGAGAGCAAGUAUCAGAAUGUGGAGCUGCGUCUCUCCAUCUACGGCCGCUCACGAGAUGAAUGGGAUAAACUGGCUCAGUGGGCCGUCAAACACAAGGUUUAUUCAGAUAAUGUGCGCUGGCUGGUGCAGGUGCCACGGCUAUUUGACGUGUACCACACCAAGAAGCAGCUCUCUAACUUCCAGGAGAUGCUAGAGAACAUUUUUAUGCCUCUGUUUGAAGUCACUGUCAAUCCCAGCAGCCACCCACAGCUGCAUCUCUUCCUGCAACAUGUUGUCGGGUUUGAUAGUGUGGAUGAUGAGUCCAAACCUGAGCAUCACAUCUUUAACCUGGACAGUCCAAAACCUGUGAACUGGACAGAAGAAGACAAUCCUCCCUACUCAUAUUAUCUGUACUACAUGUAUGCAAAUAUGACUGUACUCAACCACCUGCGCAGGCAAAGGAACUUGAAUUCGUUUGUAUUACGUCCGCACUGUGGAGAGGCAGGGCCCAUUCACCACCUCGUGUCUGGAUUUAUGCUGUCAGAGAAUAUUUCCCAUGGCCUACUUCUGAGAAAAGCUCCUGUACUGCAGUAUUUGUAUUACCUGGCUCAGAUCGGCAUUGCCAUGUCUCCACUCAGCAACAACAGCCUCUUCCUCAGUUACCAUCGAAAUCCGCUGCCUGAGUACCUGUCCAGAGGCCUCAUGGUGUCUUUGUCCACUGAUGACCCUCUGCAGUUCCAUUUCACAAAGGAGCCGCUGAUGGAGGAGUACAGCAUCGCUGCUCAGGUGUGGAAGCUGAGCUCAUGUGACAUGUGUGAGCUGGCCCGAAACAGUGUGCUCAUGAGCGGAUUUUCUCACCAGGUGAAAAGCUACUGGCUGGGGCCGCAUUAUCUGAAAGAGGGGCAGGAGGGCAACGACAUCCGACGCACCAACGUUCCUGACAUCCGUGUGGCGUACCGCUUCGAGACGCUCUGUGAGGAGCUGAAUCUGAUCACGCAGGCUGUGCGGUCAGAGGAGCUGGAGACGGUUGAAGAGCAGGGAUCCCUGUGCAUGGGUGCAGGACCGACCAGAUGUUAGAGGCAUCAUACGCUUUCAAUUAUUCAACCAGUGCAGAGUGUUAAUGAAAGAAUACCAACUGGAAACACGCUUACAGAAUCUAUGAAGGUUCCAGAAACCCACAGUCAAGCUUUAGGAAACCCCAGAAGUCUCCUCCCUCUGUUACUGUGGACCUUACACUGUCCAUAACCUGCAGUCCAGCAUGAAGAUCAGUGAAAUGGUUUACACCGUCAUAGAUAAUGAACCGUCAUUUGGUGUUGCUUGUACACUUGUUCUGAACACUAACAGCCAUAAGCAUCUGUUCUUUGGCUAUUCUGUGUGAGCUCAAGUACCUCCGCACAUCUCUGUCAUGAGCCGUCAUAAUCAUGUCAUUUUUAAAUGGAGUUUUUUCCUCAUUUUAUAGUCUUGAUUUUAGCAGGUUCUGUUCUAAUCUGUCUAUUACUGUGAUAUUAUUUAUUUUCUAGUGGCUGUAUCCUAUGAGUCAUUUGGCCAUUUUUAUUUGUGUCUGUAAUUGAAUAAUUAUUAGUGCUAUUUAUUGUAAAUCAGACAUGAAGAUAUCAAAGUGAAGUUUAUUUUUUCUGCUCUAUUCUAUAUCUCAAAAUUAAAAUAUCAUAAUUCUGGGA
Megalobrama amblycephala (Wuchang bream) is the source of this 3255-nucleotide RNA transcript. It is a transcript of the gene named adenosine monophosphate deaminase 2b, with no coding region annotated. NCBI's taxonomy places the organism in Eukaryota, Metazoa, Chordata, Actinopteri, Cypriniformes, Xenocyprididae. The transcript is spliced from 19 exons. The record is from RefSeq and is a predicted model, not a curated record.